GGUGGGGAUUAGUGGCGAACGGGUGAGUAACACGUGGGCAAUCUGCCCUGCACUCUGGGACAAGCCCUGGAAACGGGGUCUAAUACCGGAUAUUGACCUUCACGGGCAUCUGUGAGGUUCGAAAGCUCCGGCGGUGCAGGAUGAGCCCGCGGCCUAUCAGCUUGUUGGUGAGGUAAUGGCUCACCAAGGCGACGACGGGUAGCCGGCCUGAGAGGGCGACCGGCCACACUGGGACUGAGACACGGCCCAGACUCCUACGGGAGGCAGCAGUGGGGAAUAUUGCACAAUGGGCGAAAGCCUGAUGCAGCGACGCCGCGUGAGGGAUGACGGCCUUCGGGUUGUAAACCUCUUUCAGCAGGGAAGAAGCGAAAGUGACGGUACCUGCAGAAGAAGCGCCGGCUAACUACGUGCCAGCAGCCGCGGUAAUACGUAGGGCGCAAGCGUUGUCCGGAAUUAUUGGGCGUAAAGAGCUCGUAGGCGGCUUGUCACGUCGGUUGUGAAAGCCCGGGGCUUAACCCCGGGUCUGCAGUCGAUACGGGCAGGCUAGAGUUCGGUAGGGGAGAUCGGAAUUCCUGGUGUAGCGGUGAAAUGCGCAGAUAUCAGGAGGAACACCGGUGGCGAAGGCGGAUCUCUGGGCCGAUACUGACGCUGAGGAGCGAAAGCGUGGGGAGCGAACAGGAUUAGAUACCCUGGUAGUCCACGCCGUAAACGGUGGGCACUAGGUGUGGGCAACAUUCCACGUUGUCCGUGCCGCAGCUAACGCAUUAAGUGCCCCGCCUGGGGAGUACGGCCGCAAGGCUAAAACUCAAAGGAAUUGACGGGGG
Molecule: ribosomal RNA, 824 nt
Filed under: Actinomycetales bacterium Cul_0281
Lineage: Bacteria; Bacillati; Actinomycetota; Actinomycetes; Actinomycetales
Description: bacterial SSU rRNA
Rfam family: Bacterial small subunit ribosomal RNA
Source: RNAcentral